Molecule: long non-coding RNA, 1332 nt
Organism: Saccostrea cuccullata (small rock oyster)
Lineage: Eukaryota; Metazoa; Mollusca; Bivalvia; Ostreida; Ostreidae
Exons: 4
Source: RefSeq, a predicted model, not a curated record
CACGCCAUGUGAGUUAUGCAACUUAUGGGCCGGGGAAACGUUCAGUCCGGGUUAUAUAGGUAGAAUAUGUAGAAACAUUGAUAACGGAUCAGAAACUAUCAAUGUUAUGGCUACUGACAGAAGACAGCAGGGAGAUGUUUAUGUUAUGAACAUUUCUUAUCAACAAACCCUGUAAGAAGAAGGACCUCUGUUCUACAGCUUGUGAUGGAUCUGAUCAUAGAACACAUAAUAUCAACCCAGUUUAAAGGAAGCAUGUAACCACAAGUCCACAAUAGAAAGAUUUAAGGAUUGUGAGAAACCAGACACAUCAGAAUAAAGACCAUGGGAGUGUGAAAAAAAAAGAACAGUAUAGUGUAAUCCUUAAGGACUUUCUUCAGACUUCCACAAAGUCAUGAAAAUUCUGUUGAACUGACAUACUUUUAACAAAAAUAAUGAUUCUCUGAGUCAACAAUUCAAGGAAUAUCUGUGUGUUGAGACUAAGAUGGAUUUUUAUAGGAGUUUUGAUGACAAAGAAUCAUCCAUUGGAAAUAUGGCUUUGAACUUGAAUCUCAUUACAGUAUAGAUGCAUGCAUAAUUGUGGGCUGAAGAAGAAAACCAGGACAAAAGAAUAUUCCUAGCUUUCAUCAGAAAAAAAAACAAACCAAUCAGCCUUUUCAAAUGCUUGAAUGCCCAGCUGAGAGAGCCAGCCAGUGCUGAAAAUAUUUCUCGGAAGGGAAACCAAAUCUGUUGUGACAAAUGAAAUAAAGCUUUAAAAGUUCAUUUAAAAACAAACUGAUUCAUCUAUAAGUGAGAGUUGAUUGCCCUUGACAGUUGCCAGUGGAAUUCAGAUCUUCUAAAUUGUACCAGUAUUAACUUUUAACAGUAUUUAGUAUAUUGAAGUGAUUUGCCUUGAAUUUACAUUGCAUAUGGUGUACAUUACGUCAAGGAGAUAUAACACACCUAGUUAAACAGUAAGGUCCAUAGCUAAACAUGGAUAUGGAAUGAAGUUCACCUGAUCCAAAUGUUCAAUUGCACAAUUCUGCUAAAAAGAAGUCUCUGGUAUCCAACAAUGCAACAUUUAUAUGUUUGAUUGAUUGUAUACUGUUUAACGUCCCUCUCCAGAAUAUUUCACUGAUAUGGAGACGUCACCAUUGCCGGUGAAGGGCUGCAAAUUUAGGCCUAUGCUCGGCACUCAGGGCCUUUGAGCAGGGAGGGAUCUUUAUCGUGCCACACCUGCUGUGACACGGGGCCUCGGUUUAUACGGUCUCAUCCGAAGGACCGCCCCAUUUAGUCGCCUUUUACGACAAGCAAGGGGGUACUGAGGACCUAUUCUAGCCCGGAUCCCCACGGGGC